AGGUGAUAUCACAGAAAGAAAGGUUGCCAUUGAAAGGGACCAGGACAAGCUUGAGAAAUGGGCCCAUGUGAACUUAAUGGGGUUCAACAAAUCCAAGUACAAGGUGCUGCACCUGGGUCAGGGCAAUCCCAGACAUGAGUACAGACUGGGAGAGGAACUCACUGAGAGCAGCCCUGUGGAGAAAGACUUGGGCCUUCUGGUGGACAAAAGGCUUGACAUGAGCCAGCAGUUCGUGCUUGCAGUCCUGAAGGCCGACUGCAUCCUGGGCUGUAUCACAGAGGAGUGGCCAACAGGUCAAGGGAGUUGAUUGUCCCCUCUGCUCUGCCCUUGUGAGGCCCCACUUGGAGUGCUGCAUC
Long non-coding RNA from Oxyura jamaicensis (ruddy duck), 356 nucleotides. RefSeq lists it as uncharacterized. NCBI's taxonomy places the organism in Eukaryota, Metazoa, Chordata, Aves, Anseriformes, Anatidae. The record is from RefSeq and is a predicted model, not a curated record. The transcript has 3 exons.